GAGUUUGAUCAUGGCUCAGGAUGAACGCUGGCGGCGUGCCUAAUACAUGCAAGUCGAGCGAACAGACGAGGAGCUUGCUCCUCUGACGUUAGCGGCGGACGGGUGAGUAACACGUGGAUAACCUACCUAUAAGACUGGGAUAACUUCGGGAAACCGGAGCUAAUACCGAAUAAUAUAUUGAACCGCAUGGUUCAAUAGUGAAAAACGGUUUUGCUGUCACUUAUAGAUGGAUCCGCGCCGCAUUAGCUAGUUGGUAGGGUAACGGCUUACCAAGGCGACGAUGCGUAGCCGACCUGAGAGGGUGAUCGGCCACACUGGAACUGAGACACGGUCCAGACUCCUACGGGAGGCAGCAGUAGGGAAUCUUCCGCAAUGGGCGAAAGCCUGACGGAGCAACGCCGCGUGAGUGAUGAAGGUCUUCGGAUCGUAAAACUCUGUUAUUAGGGAAGAACAAAUGUGUAAGUAACGUAUAGUCGACGUCGUUCGUACGGUACCGUUAACUACUA
RNAcentral lists this ribosomal RNA (506 nucleotides) under uncultured microorganism. RNAcentral describes it as "bacterial SSU rRNA". It matches the Rfam family "Bacterial small subunit ribosomal RNA", at positions 9 to 506 of the family's 1533-position model. The record is from RNAcentral.